This 253-nucleotide ribosomal RNA is filed under the name uncultured bacterium. Its description in RNAcentral is "partial 16S ribosomal RNA". It matches the Rfam family "Bacterial small subunit ribosomal RNA", at positions 524 to 776 of the family's 1533-position model. The record is from RNAcentral.
GACGUAGGGCGCGAGCGUUGUCCGGAUUUAUUGGGCGUAAAGAGCUCGUAGGCGGCUUGUCGCGUCGACUGUGAAAUCCCGCGGCUCAACUGCGGGUCUGCAGCCGAUACGGGCAGGCUAGAGUUCGGUAGGGGAGACUGGAAUUCCUGGUGUAGCGGUGAAAUGCGCAGAUAUCAGGAGGAACACCGGUGGCGAAGGCGGGUCUCUGGGCCGAUACUGACGCUGAGGAGCGAAAGCGUGGGGAGCGAACAGG